GACGAACGCUGGCGGCGUGCUUAACACAUGCAAGUCGAACGGAAAGGCCCUGCUUUUGUGGGGUGCUCGAGUGGCGAACGGGUGAGUCACACGUGAGUAACCUGCCCUUGACUUUGGGAUAACUUCAGGAAACUUGGGCUAAUACCGGAUAGGAGCUCCUGCUGCAUGGUGGGGGUUGGAACGUUUCGGCGGUUGGGGAUGGACUCGCGGCUUAUCAGCUUGUUGGUGGGGUAGUGGCUUACCAAGGCUUUGACGGGUAGCCGGCCUGAGAGGGUGACCGGCCACAUGGGGACUGAGAUACGGCCCAGACUCCUACGGGAGGCAGCAGUGGGGAAUAUUGCACAAUGGGCGGAAGCCUGAGGCAGCAACGCCGCGUGCGGGAUGACGGCCUUCGGGUUGUAAACCGCUUUCGCCUGUGACGAAGCGUGAGUGACGGUAAUGGGUAAAGAAGCACCGGCUAACUACGUG
RNAcentral lists this ribosomal RNA (468 nucleotides) under uncultured bacterium. RNAcentral describes it as "partial 16S ribosomal RNA". It matches the Rfam family "Bacterial small subunit ribosomal RNA", at positions 28 to 507 of the family's 1533-position model. The record is from RNAcentral.